Molecule: long non-coding RNA, 627 nt
Organism: Lycium barbarum (goji berry)
Lineage: Eukaryota; Viridiplantae; Streptophyta; Magnoliopsida; Solanales; Solanaceae
Exons: 4
Source: RefSeq, a predicted model, not a curated record
UUUCAUUUCACUAGUAAACCACUAAACCCUAGUCUCUAACAUCAUUUGACUUAGGGUUUUCAUUUCCUCUUCUCCCACAAACUAAGUCACAACAAUUUUCAUUUAUUCUUCUCCCACAAAGGCACAAACCAGCGGCUCUGCCCCCACAAACUAGCGGCGAAGCUCUCACAUUCUUAAGAUGGCGGAUGAAACUAGAUUAAGUUUGGCCGGUUCAACUGAUAGCGUACCUGAUAGCGUACCUAAUAUAGAUGAUAGCAAUGACAUCUCACUUGACACCGAGCCCCAGAUUUUGAUCAUUCAGAGGCUCUACGCAAAGGGAAGGCAUUAGUUUGAUUGUUCGUGGCACCCGCUCGACAUUGAGAGUACGAUCUAGGCUCCAGUUCUACGCCCCGUGGUUGAUACGCGAGGGCUAUAUCUUUCGGUCAUUCAGGGUGAGCUACUUGGUCAUCCGUGGCCCCUGAAGGACCCUCUUAUUUAAUUCUCUUUUUUUCUUCGACAGACAGUAUGUAGCCUUCGGGUAUUUUUAGACUUCUAUUCCAGACUAUGUUUAGCGCUCUUGUACCCUUUGACCAGAUUUUGGGGUUGUCGUGACAUUUCUAGUUAUGAUUAGUAUUUAAGACUUGAUAA